This 1358-nucleotide ribosomal RNA is filed under the name metagenome. RNAcentral describes it as "bacterial LSU rRNA". It matches the Rfam family "Bacterial large subunit ribosomal RNA", at positions 1540 to 2925 of the family's 2925-position model. The record is from RNAcentral.
AUCCGUUGUAUAAUCCGAAGACGUGAUGUGGAGCGAAAUAAAGUAGUGAAGCGUGUGAGCCAUGUGCCGAGAAAAGCUGCUAUUGUGUAAUGCGUGCCCGUACCGUAAACCGACACAGGUGGAUGAGGAGAGAAUCCUAAGGCCGACGGAAGAAGCAUUGUUAAGGAAUUCGGCAAAAUGACCCCGUAACUUCGGGAGAAGGGGUGCCUGCGAGAGCAGGCCGUAGAGAAUAGGCUCAAGCAACUGUUUAGCAAAAACACAGGUCUAUGCGAAACCGAAAGGUGAAGUAUAUGGGCUGACGCCUGCCCGGUGCUGGAAGGUUAAGAGGAGAGGUUAGCGUAAGCGAAGCCUUGAAUUUAAGCCCCAGUAAACGGCGGCCGUAACUAUAACGGUCCUAAGGUAGCGAAAUUCCUUGUCGGGUAAGUUCCGACCCGCACGAAAGGCGUAAUGAUUUGAGCACUGUCUCGACAAUGCAUCCGGUGAAAUUGAAGUACCAGUGAAGAUGCUGGUUACCCGCGCCAGGACGGAAAGACCCCAUGGAGCUUUACUCCAGUUUGAUACUGGGAUUCGGUACUGCAUGUACAGGAUAGGUGGGAGACGAAGAAGGAUGGACGCCAGUCUGUCCGGAGUCGCUGUUGGGAUACCACCCCUGUAGUACUGGGUUUCUAACCAGUUGCCAUGAACUGGCAAUGGGACAAUGUCAGGCGGGGAGUUUGACUGGGGCGGUCGCCUCCGAAAGGGUAUCGGAGGCGCUCAAAGGUUCCCUCAGAAUGGUUGGAAACCAUUUGAAGAGUGCAAAGGCAGAAGGGAGCUUGACUGCGACACCGACGGGUGGAGCAGGUACGAAAGUAGGACUUAGUGAUCCGGUGGUAUAAAGUGGGAUUGCCAUCGCUCAACGGAUAAAAGCUACCCUGGGAUAACAGGCUUAUCACUCCCAAGAGUUCACAUCGACGGAGUGGUUUGGCACCUCGAUGUCGGCUCAUCGCAUCCUGGGGCUGUAGCAGGUCCCAAGGGUUGGGCUGUUCGCCCAUUAAAGCGGUACGCGAGCUGGGUUCAGAACGUCGUGAGACAGUUCGGUCCCUAUCCGGCGCGGGCGGAGGAUAUUUGAGAGGAGCUGUCCUUAGUACGAGAGGACCGGGAUGGACGGACCACUGGUGUAUCUGUUGUCGACCAACGGCAUGGCAGAGUAGCCAAGUCUGGAAGGGAUAAACGCUGAAGGCAUCUAAGCGUGAAGCCCCCCUCAAGAUGAGAUAUCCCUCCUUCGGGAAUAAGACCCCUUGAAGACUACAAGGUAGAUAGGGCAGAGGUGGAAGCAUGGCAACAUGUGGAGCUGACUGUUACUAAUAGGUCGAGGGCUC